Molecule: ribosomal RNA, 290 nt
Filed under: uncultured bacterium
Lineage: Bacteria
Description: partial 16S ribosomal RNA
Rfam family: Bacterial small subunit ribosomal RNA
Source: RNAcentral
UUACCUACGGGAGGCAGCAGUGAGGAAUAUUGGUCAAUGGCCGGAAGGCUGAACCAGCCAAGCCGCGUGAGGGAAGACGGUCCUAUGGAUUGUAAACCUCUUUAGGCGGGGAGCAAUGCCGGGCACGCGUGCCCGGAGGGAGAGUACCCGCAGAAUAAGCAUCGGCUAACUCCGUGCCAGCAGCCGCGGGAAUACGGAGGAUGCGAGCGUUAUCCGGAUUUAUUGGGUUUAAAGGGUGCGUAGGCGGAUUUUUAAGUCAGCGGUAAAAUGUCCGGGCUCAACCCGGGCCG